This 484-nucleotide ribosomal RNA is filed under the name uncultured bacterium. RNAcentral describes it as "partial 16S ribosomal RNA". It matches the Rfam family "Bacterial small subunit ribosomal RNA", at positions 29 to 507 of the family's 1533-position model. The record is from RNAcentral.
AAUGAACGCUGGCGGCAUGCCUUACACAUGCAAGUCGAACGGCAGCGCGGGCUUCGGCCUCGCGGCGAGUGGCGAACGGGGGGGUAAUGCACCUGAACGUGCCCUAACUUCGGGGAUAGCCCGCCGAAAGCCGGCUUAAUACUCCAUCCGACCAUAUAUUGAAAGUGGGGGACCGAGAGUCCUCUCGCCUUUUGAGCAGGCUAAGUCGCAAUAGCUAGUUGGUUGGGUAAAGGCUUAACAAGGCGACUAGCCGUAGCUGGUCUGAGAGGACGACCAGCCACACUGGGAGUGAGAAACGGCCCAGACUCCUACGGGAGGCAGCAGUGGGGAAUUUUGCGCAAUGGGGGAAAGCCUGAUACAGCAAUGCCGCGUGAGGGAAGAAGGCGUUCGGGUUGUAAAGCGCUGUUGUUCGGGAAGAAAUAAUCUGGGCUUAUACCGGGGGGGGAUGACGGUACCGGAAGAAUAAGCACCGGCUAACUACGUG